This 1632-nucleotide long non-coding RNA is filed under the name Anas platyrhynchos platyrhynchos (common mallard). RNAcentral describes it as "lncRNA (ENSAPLG00000027694.1)". Lineage: Eukaryota; Metazoa; Chordata; Aves; Anseriformes; Anatidae. The record is from RNAcentral.
CACUGCAUAUUGCUUCCGUCUCACUGAAAUACCACAGGACUGCUCGUUCUGCUCCCUUCUGCACACUGAGGGGCACCGACCAUGCCGCUAGCUCCCCAUUCUUGCAUUUCUUGCCAGUUUCUCAUUUUUUGCCUUUCUUGCCUCAAACUGCAAAGAGGGAACUGGGGGGUGGCUGUGGGCUGGCCCAGGUGCUGGCUGUUACCAGCUAGCCCUGUCUGCCUCCUGUGUGGGCCUGGGCAAGGCUAUUAAUGCCUAUGGGCAGGGCAGGCUGCUCCCUGAAGGCUGUGCAGCAGAAGCAACAGGGCAGGCUCCAGCCCCUGGUCCUUCUGCCCCCAGAGAAAGGUGCUUUCAGCUGCAGAGACCCAGCACCUGUGGAUGCACGGCAGUGAUUAUGUUCCCUGAUGCUGGAGCGAUACUGGGGCAACCCAGCGGUGAGUGGUGCAUUGGAGUAAAUAUACUAGCAUCUAAUUCCUGGUUUGGAAUCACAGCUAAAUUCCUUUGGUGUCCUGGCAAACCCGGCUUGGGGAGGGGAAGGAGCACUUCCACCUGGUGGUGAGGGCAUGGGUGCUGGGUGGUUAUGGCUGGGCCCCUUGGAGGGCCGGAGGCUGGUGCCAGAAGGAGUGUGCCCAGCUUGCCUUGUGAGUCCCUUCCAAGGCAGGAGGAUGCUUCAGAAAGCAUUUGAUGUGGGGAAACUGUGCAAGUUGAUAAAGAAGUCGAUAACAGUGCGUUUCUGAAGUGGAACUUAAACUGCUGAAAAUACUUUGAAAAGCACUGACCACAAUUAAGCACUUAAUCAGGAGAGCUGCAAUUUUCUGAGGCUCAAAGUACAAAAAUCAUGAAGUAGAGAUCCAGAGAUAUGAAGGAAAAUGUCUCUUUGGCAAUUAAGAUCCAUUCUGCUCAAAGGCUGAAAAUGGUAUCAUUGAAUUACUUUUGUUGCACAGUUGAUACACUGAAUUAUCUAAAAUGUAAACCAUUGUGCCUAAAAUGCCACUCAAUAAGUAAAACAGCUUCUCCUGCUCAGCUGUUACUCGCUCUGUGGAUUGGAUUCUGAUGGUAUCUUAUUUCCCUUCUUUAAAAGAAGGUUUUUAAUCAACUUCCUCUUCCCUCCCCCAUAGUACAGUGCUGGCUGGAAGGAGCAAUGCGGAGCACCAAGGAGAGGUUUUCCAGCCCUCGGACCUGCCCCCAUCACCCCAGUUCUUGCAGUGAAGCACGUGCAGAUGGGCAGGCUGUCUGGGGCUGGCAGGUGUGCUGACAUGUCCCAAAGGGACACCGUGCCAAGCUGGGUGCCGGCCACAUCGGGAAGCAGCAGGAGGUUAACAGGAGGCACAAUUGCCCCGCUUGUUUCUCCCUCCCAGUGGAGCUGCAGUGACUGAAUCGUCGCACAUCCAGCUCCGUUGUGUGAAUGUCUCUGCUCUUGUCCUUCCUAACCCUGACUUGUUGAUCGCAGAUCGGCAGUAAGUACUGCUGGAAGUGCUUCGUGCUGAAACCGUUGCUGUUUCCACUUAUUUUACACUUGAUUAUAGAUGAUGUAAAAAAAAAAAAAAAAAAAUCAACAACAGAACUAUACAUCUGUGACUUGUCAGAACUCUUUGUCACAUCUCUGAGUGCCAAUAAACAUGAAGUCUGCAUCCA